AUUACUGCUCAGUAACACGUAGUCAAUCUACCCUGUGGACGGGGAUAACCUCGGGAAACUGAGAAUAAUACCCGAUAGAUCAUUAUGCCUGGAACGGUUUAUGGUUCAAAUGAUUUUUCGCCAUAGGAUGGGACUGCGGCCUAUCAGUUUGUUGGUGAGGUAACGGCCCACCAAGACUAUUACAGGUACGGGCUCUGAGAGGAGAAGCCCGGAGAUGGGUACUGAGACACGGACCCAGGCCCUAUGGGGCGCAGCAGGCGAGAAAACUUUGCAAUGUGCGAAAGCACGACAAGGUUAAUCCGAGUGUUUUCUGCUAAAGAAAUCUUUUAUCAGUUCUAAAAAUACUGACGAAUAAGGGGUGGGCAAGUUCUGGUGUCAGCCGCCGCGGUAAAACCAGCACCUCAAGUGGUCAGGAUGAUUAUUGGGCCUAAAGCAUCCGUAGCCGGCUUUGUAAGUUUUCGGUUAAAUCUAUAUGCUCAACAUAUAGGCUGCCGGAAAAACUGCAUCGCUAGGGAGUGGGAGAGGUAGACGGUACUCGAUAGGAAGGGGUAAAAUCCUUUGAUCUAUUGAUGACCACCUGUGGCGAAGGCGGUCUACCAGAACACGUCCGACGGUGAGGGAUGAAAGCUGGGGGAGCAAACCGGAUUAGAUACCCGGGUAGUCCCAGCUGUAAACUAUGCAAACUCAGUGAUGCAUUGGCUUGUGGCCAGUGCAGUGCUGCAGGGAAGCCGUUAAGUUUGCCGCCUGGGAAGUACGUACGCAAGUAUGAAACUUAAAGGAAUUGGCGGGGGAGCACCACAAGGGGUGAAACGUACGCAAGUAUGAAACUUAAAGGCUUAAAGG
This 843-nucleotide ribosomal RNA is filed under the name uncultured archaeon. RNAcentral's name for it is "bacterial SSU rRNA". It matches the Rfam family "Archaeal small subunit ribosomal RNA", at positions 82 to 925 of the family's 1478-position model. The record is from RNAcentral.